GUUUCCACCCUUUCUCUUGGAGUCUCAACAUUUAAGCUGCCCCAUCUGAUCUUGGAUGCUAAGCAGAAUUGGGCCUGGUCAGUACUGGAAUGGGAGUCUGUUUGGGAAUACUAAGGGGUGUAAAGU
Molecule: ribosomal RNA, 126 nt
Filed under: Salvator merianae (Argentine black and white tegu)
Lineage: Eukaryota; Metazoa; Chordata; Lepidosauria; Squamata; Teiidae
Source: RNAcentral